GCCGGGCGCGGUGGCGCAUGCCUGUAGUCCCAGCUACUCGGGAGGCUGAGGUGGGAGGAUUGCUUGAGCCCAGGAGUUCUGGGCUGCAGUGCGCUAUGCCGAUCAGGUGUCCGCACUAAGUUCGGCAUCAAUAUGGUGACCUCCCGGGAGCGGGGGACCACCAGGUUGCCUAAGGAGGGGUGAACCGGCCCAGGUCGGAAACGGAGCAGGUCAAAACUCCCGUGCUGAUCAGUAGUGGGAUCGCGCCUGUGAAUAGCCACUGCACUCCAGCCUGGGCAACAUAGCGAGACCCUGUCUCU
This 299-nucleotide signal recognition particle RNA is filed under the name Saimiri boliviensis boliviensis (Bolivian squirrel monkey). RNAcentral's name for it is "Metazoan signal recognition particle RNA (ENSSBOG00000011556.1)". It matches the Rfam family "Metazoan signal recognition particle RNA". Rfam says of the family: The signal recognition particle (SRP) is a universally conserved ribonucleoprotein. The record is from RNAcentral. Lineage: Eukaryota; Metazoa; Chordata; Mammalia; Primates; Cebidae.